This 361-nucleotide long non-coding RNA is filed under the name Glycine max (soybean). Its description in RNAcentral is "long non-coding RNA (GMAX_LNC003223)". Lineage: Eukaryota; Viridiplantae; Streptophyta; Magnoliopsida; Fabales; Fabaceae. The record is from RNAcentral.
UUUAGGAUGCCUCUUCUCCCUUCGUACGACUUCAUCAUCGAUUGGUGAAAGAACCCACCCUCUCCUCUCGCAAUGGCUGCCACUGUCUCCCACCGUCGCGAGAUAAUCCUCUAUGGCAGCAUCACCUUUUCUUCUUAACGAAGCCCACCCUUUUCAUAAUCUGUCACGCAAUGAACUUGUUCUCACCGUCAAUAAAACUUAGUCAUGGGGGUUCAAGUCAGUGGAAAAUGCAACCAUCCCCUUAGGCCAGACCGUGGUGCAGAAACUCGUCCCCUUUAUUCUAGAUCCAUCACAACCAUCGCUUUAGCCUCAAUCUUCUUGCAUCCAUCGCAAAGCCCUGAUCUUCUCGCAUUCAAAGGUG